CCCUUAGAGUUUGAUCCUGGCUCAGGAUGAACGCUAGCUACAGGCUUAACACAUGCAAGUCGAGGGGCAGCAUGAUUGAAGCUUGCUUCAAUCGAUGGCGACCGGCGCACGGGUGAGUAACACGUAUCCAACCUGCCGAUAACUCGGGGAUAGCCUUUCGAAAGAAAGAUUAAUACCCGAUAGCAUAGUUUUUCCGCAUGGUUUCACUAUUAAAGAAUUUCGGUUAUCGAUGGGGAUGCGUUCCAUUAGAUAGUUGGCGGGGUAACGGCCCACCAAGUCAACGAUGGAUAGGGGUUCUGAGAGGAAGGUCCCCCACAUUGGAACUGAGACACGGUCCAAACUCCUACGGGAGGCAGCAGUGAGGAAUAUUGGUCAAUGGACGAGAGUCUGAACCAGCCAAGUAGCGUGAAGGAUGACUGCCCUAUGGGUUGUAAACUUCUUUUAUACGGGAAUAAAGUGGAGUAUGCAUACUCCUUUGUAUGUACCGUAGAAUAAGGAUCGGCAACUCUG
RNAcentral lists this ribosomal RNA (510 nucleotides) under uncultured bacterium. RNAcentral describes it as "bacterial SSU rRNA". It matches the Rfam family "Bacterial small subunit ribosomal RNA", at positions 1 to 505 of the family's 1533-position model. The record is from RNAcentral.